Molecule: long non-coding RNA, 791 nt
Organism: Brassica napus (rape)
Lineage: Eukaryota; Viridiplantae; Streptophyta; Magnoliopsida; Brassicales; Brassicaceae
Exons: 2
Source: RefSeq, a predicted model, not a curated record
UCAUAUAAUACUUCAUUCUAAUAUCUAAUAUGUUUUCGAACUCUAUAUCUCAUUAUUACGCAUGAAGAGAGAAACUACACUCAUCACUACAAUCGAUAUACUUUUCUUACGAAAAUAUCUAUUUUAUCUCUCCCAAUCUUUUUGGUUUACGAUCUUCUUUCUCUCACAAUCUCUUUGGUUUCUCCGUAAUUACGACCCUCCUUCUCUCAUAAUCUCUUUGAUUUCUCCGUCAAAACCAUUGUUCACAAAGAAUCUUCCAUCUCACUCAAUGAUCUCUUUGGUUUCUCCGACGGAACCCUUCUCCCUAUAUAAACGAAAUCGCACCGGACUGUCUGUAUCAGUCUCACCAGAUUCGAGAGUCGUGGUGGUGGUGGCACGGAUCGGAUCGUUCGUAGAUCAGAAGCUAUCACACAUGGUACCACCUCUCAGAAAGUUGCUGCUCUCAUCAAUCUGACUUUGAGCUUGAGGAAGAAGAGAUGUCUUUCUGAUGAGGAAGAUGAAUGUAGAUAAAAUGGUCAGCCUUAUCAGAGACCGAUACCCAUUUACAAAGAAAAUGUUCAUAGGAAGAGCUACAAAGGCCGAUGUAGAGCGGAUGAGAGAGGAGGCCGAUGUUGCAGCCCUAGAAAGGAAGAAAAGAAAGAGGAAAAGCACUCAUGUCUUUCACUUUUAUUUAAUAAUAUAAUUUGUGAAAUAGUCGGCUAAUACUUUAUUUGACUUUUUUGUAAUAGUUAGCCGGUAAUAUAUUAAUUAUCUCGACAUUGUUAUAAUUAACCGGUUAAGAUUUUACUUGA